CGGGGUGCACCAGGCGCGAAAACUCUACAAUGCAGGCAACUGCGAUAGGGGGACAUCGAGUGGCAUCCACCUUGGGUGCCUGUCCCACCGUCUAAAAAACGGUGGUUAGCAAGGGCCGGGCAAGACCGGUGCCAGCCGCCGCGGUAAUACCGGCGGCUCGAGUGGUGGCCGAUAUUAUUGAGUCUAAAGGGUCCGUAGCCGGCUUUGCAAGUCCCCUGGGAAAUCCAGCGGCUUAACCGUUGGGCUUUCAUGGGAUACUACAUUGCUUGGGACUGGGAUAGGUAGGAGGUACUCGGGGGGUAGGGGUGAAAUCCUGUAAUCCCCCGGGGACCACCGGUGGCGAAGGCGUCCUACCAGAACAGGUCCGACGGUGAGGGGCGAAAGCUAGGGGCACGAACCGGAUUAGAUACCCGGGUAGUCCUAGCCGUAAACGAUGCCCGCUAGGUGUUACGGCGGUCGUGAAUCGCCGUGGUGCCGUAGGGAAGCCGCGAAGCGGGCCACUUGGGAAGUACGGCCGCAAGGCUGAAACUUAAAGGAAUUGGCGGGGG
RNAcentral lists this ribosomal RNA (548 nucleotides) under uncultured archaeon. RNAcentral's name for it is "bacterial SSU rRNA". It matches the Rfam family "Archaeal small subunit ribosomal RNA", at positions 326 to 874 of the family's 1478-position model. The record is from RNAcentral.